This 625-nucleotide ribosomal RNA is filed under the name uncultured bacterium. RNAcentral describes it as "bacterial SSU rRNA". It matches the Rfam family "Bacterial small subunit ribosomal RNA", at positions 866 to 1502 of the family's 1533-position model. The record is from RNAcentral.
AUUCCACCUGGGGAGUACGUCGGCAACGAUGAAACUCAAAGGAAUUGACGGGGGCCCGCACAAGCGGAGGAACAUGUGGUUUAAUUCGAUGAUACGCGAGGAACCUUACCCGGGUUUAAAUGUAGGACGAAAUUCUGAGAAAUCGGAACCCCUUCGGGCGGACUACAAGGUGCUGCAUGGCUGUCGUCAGCUCGUGCCGUGAGGUGUCGGGUUAAGUCCCAUAACGAGCGCAACCCCUAUCGUUAGUUGCUAACAGGUUAAGCUGAGGACUCUAGCGAGACUGCCACCGUAAGGUGUGAGGAAGGUGGGGAUGACGUCAAGUCAGCACGGCCCUUAUAUCCGGGGCUACACACGUGUUACAAUGGUCGAUACAAAGGGCAGCUACACAGCGAUGUGAUGCAAAUCUCUAAAGUCGAUCUCAGUUCGGAUUGAAGUCUGCAACUCGACUUCAUGAAGUUGGAUUCGCUAGUAAUCGUGCAUCAGCAACGGCACGGUGAAUACGUUCCCGGGCCUUGUACACACCGCCCGUCAAGCCAUGGAAGCUGAGGGUACCUGAAGUCUGUAACCGUAAGGAGCGGCCUAAGGUAAAAUUAGUAACUGGGGCUAAGUCGUAACAAGGUAGCCG